ACAAUUAAAAAAAAUGUUAACAAUACAAAAAUAUUUUAAUGGUGUAGUAAUUUGAAACACAAUUUAGAUCCAUUUAAAGAUUUAAACAAAGAAAUAUACCUAUUGGUAAUUUAAAAUAAUAAACACUUUUUUUUUAAUUUAUGUUUUUAUGCGGGUAACUAACCAGUAUAAUUAACUGGGAAUUUUCAUAAUUUUUAUGUAACCUUAUUAAGUGUGUACACACAAUACAUCUGUAUAGUUAUAUCGAAGAUAAUAAGAAUUUAAUUUAAGCAUCUUUUUUUUUUUUUUUAUUUUCAAUUUCAAAUUCAAUGAUAAGUAAUUUUAUUUAAACGAAGGCCGUCUUCGAGAUUACUGAUUGUUUUUCAAAACAAAUUGUUUAAAACGUUAAGCCAUUUUAAGAGUAUUAUUAGAUACGUGCUUGGCUCUAUUUUAAAUUGUAUAAAGAAAAAACUAAAAGUGAAAAUAUUAUUUGGCGUCAAAGAAAAUGGUCAUGUUUUAAAAAAUAAAAGGUAAUCUAUUAACUUACCGGUUAUUGUAUGAUUUUAUAUAAAUAAUUCAGAUUAAAAAAAUUAUACAUAAACUAAAUAUUAUUACAUACAGAGCAAUGGACAUAAUUAUCUCGGAAAGUAUUAACUUUUUUCGACAUUUGUUUUUUUUAGAGCAUUUAAGAAAUUGUCCUAAGAUAUUAUAUUUCGGUUAUUGUUUGUCACUUUUAUUUUAUUGGUUAAAACCACUACUUACUUUUGAUAGGAUAAUAAACAGAUGGAGCAUUAGUUCAAAUAAAUUUUGGUGUUGACAUUAUUGAUUUCCGUUCAAGUUUAGGUAUCGGGGGAGAAUGGCAGAACACUAUUACAACGCCGCGUGCCAUGUGGCUACACAAAUGAUGCACCACUAUACAUUAGAGUAAUUAGAGUAACUCUCCCCCCGCCGAAUCUUAAAAGCGAAAUAUCUCGUCAACGGAAGUUAAAAAUAGUUUAAAAAUUUUGUUAGAAAUCUGUAUUAUAAUGUAGGCAGUUUAUAAUUAAUGAAUUAAAUGCGAAUUUAGAUGUAACCGACCUUGAAUUAUACGAAUAAUAAUGUUUCUUUGCAAAUUAGUAUUAUUUUUACCUAACGUCUACAAUGUUGUUAAUGCUUGUUUUCGUGUAAAAUAUUUAUAUAUUAUUGUUUCUACGGGCGAUGAUGACGCGAGUUAUUCAAAUUUAAAAUAUUAACAAUAUGUUAUUAUUAUAAUACGCAUUACAACACAUCUAACGAAUCUUAAUAAUUAAUUACUAACGAAUGAAUAGGCUUAAAAAAUAGAAUAAUAUUAAUGCCUCGGGGUACUGAUUAUGUUAUUAUGGGAUCAUUAUUAUGAACGAGUAAAAAAAAAA
Non-coding RNA from Cinara cedri, 1370 nucleotides. NCBI's taxonomy places the organism in Eukaryota, Metazoa, Arthropoda, Insecta, Hemiptera, Aphididae. The record is from the annotation of a GenBank genome assembly.